GACGAACGCUGGCGGCGUGCUUAACACAUGCAAGUCGAACGGAAAGGCCCUGCUUUUGUGGGGUGCUCGAGUGGCGAACGGGGGAGUAACACGUGAGUAACCUGCCCUUGACUUUGGGAUAACUUCAGGAAACUGGGGCUAAUACCGGAUAGGAGCUCCUGCUGCAUGGUGGGGGUUGGAAAGUUUCGGCGGUAGGGGAUGGACUCGCGGCUUAUCAGCUUGUUGGUGGGGUAGUGGCUUACCAAGGCUUUGACGGGUAGCCGGCCUGAGAGGGUGACCGGCGACAUGGGGACUGAGGUACGGCCCAGACGCCUACGGGAGGCAGAAGUGGGGAAUAUUGCACAAUGGGCGCAAGCCUGAUGCAGCAACGCCGUGUGCGGGAUGACGGCCUUCGGGUUGUAAACCGCUUUCGCCUGUGACGAAGCGUGAGUGACGGUAAUGGGUAAAGAAGCACCGGCUAACUACGUG
This 468-nucleotide ribosomal RNA is filed under the name uncultured bacterium. RNAcentral describes it as "partial 16S ribosomal RNA". It matches the Rfam family "Bacterial small subunit ribosomal RNA", at positions 28 to 507 of the family's 1533-position model. The record is from RNAcentral.